GAUCAUGGCUCAGAUUGAACGCUGGCGGCAGGCCUAACACAUGCAAGUCGAGCGGUAAAGAGAAGCUUGCUUCUCUUGAGAGCGGCGGACGGGUGAGUAAUGCCUAGGAAUCUGCCUGGUGGUGGGGGAUAACGUUCGGAAACGGACGCUAAUACCGCAUACGUCCUACGGGAGAAAGCGGGGGAUCUUCGGACCUCGCGCCAUUAGAUGAGCCUAGGUCGGAUUAGGUAGUUGGUGGGGUAAAGGCUCACCAAGCCGACGAUCUGUAGCUGGUCUGAGAGGACGACCAGCCACACUGGGACUGAGACACGGCCCAGACUCCUACGGGAGGCAGCAGUGGGGAAUUUUGGACAAUGGGCGCAAGCCUGAUCCAGCCAUGCCGCGUGCAGGAUGAAGGCCUUCGGGUUGUAAACUGCUUUUGUACGGAACGAAAAGGUUUGGCCUAAUAAGCUGAGCUCAUGACGGUACCGUAAGAAUAAGCACCGGCUAACUACGUG
RNAcentral lists this ribosomal RNA (497 nucleotides) under uncultured bacterium. RNAcentral's name for it is "bacterial SSU rRNA". It matches the Rfam family "Bacterial small subunit ribosomal RNA", at positions 15 to 507 of the family's 1533-position model. The record is from RNAcentral.